This is a small nucleolar RNA of Jaculus jaculus (lesser Egyptian jerboa), 104 nucleotides long. RefSeq annotates it as small nucleolar RNA U13. The transcript has a single exon. The record is from RefSeq and is a predicted model, not a curated record. NCBI's taxonomy places the organism in Eukaryota, Metazoa, Chordata, Mammalia, Rodentia, Dipodidae.
AUCCUUUUAUUGGUUCACAAGCGUGAUGACUGGGUGCUCACGCGCUAGCAUGACGUGUGCCUCCCACAAACCUUCUUAUGCUCUGGCACGUUACCCGUCUGGCA